CUGGUUGGCUGGGGGACCCUGAUCCAGCAAUGCCGCGUGUGUGAAGAAGGUCUUCGGAUUGUAAAGCACUUUUGGCAGGGACGAUGAUGACGGUACCUGCAGAAUAAGCCCCGGCUAACUUCGUGCCAGCAGCCGCGGUAAUUA
Molecule: ribosomal RNA, 144 nt
Filed under: uncultured bacterium
Lineage: Bacteria
Description: partial 16S ribosomal RNA
Rfam family: Bacterial small subunit ribosomal RNA
Source: RNAcentral